Molecule: long non-coding RNA, 1448 nt
Filed under: Eucalyptus grandis
Lineage: Eukaryota; Viridiplantae; Streptophyta; Magnoliopsida; Myrtales; Myrtaceae
Description: long non-coding RNA (EGRA_LNC004977)
Source: RNAcentral
GUUCCUUCGGUCCCCUUGCCCCCUUUUUGCGACUCCUCUCUAUGAUGGGUCCCUGUGAACAACCAGCGCCAUUCCACCACUGGUUUUGAGGUCAGAAAUAGCAAGGCGUUGGCUCUCCUCCUGCACAGCAAGCUGAUAGAUCCGACCGAGUGUUAACAUCGGCUCCAUGGUAAGUAUUUGUGACCGAAACGAGAGGUAUGACUCGUUUAAAAUCAAGAGGAAUCUGGUAAUCUUCUCUCUUUCUCAAAUCGCUUGGUAUUGUCGCAAAGUCGAGUCGGGUCCCUCAAAUUUCUCCUCCACCGCUUCUAAUUCGUUCCAUAAGGCCUAGAGUUUGUUGUAAAUCACGACUAUGCUUAGAUUCCCUUGUUUUAGAUCUGAAAGUUGCUGGGUUAGUGAAAAAAUUCUCACUCGAUCUAAUUUUCCAUACAUUUCCUUUAUAUUUUCCACAUCCGUUUCGAAUCCUCCGUCUAAGGUAAUCCGGCCGCGACUUCGGAGGUGAUGCAGUUUCCGAUCCAUGUUCGGACAAGUUAGUUGCAUUUCCUCCAUAGUCAUGCCUACUGCUCGUCGGAUGGAAUUGGGACUGUCUCGUCGAUAAAUCCAUCUUUGUCUUUGGUCACCAACGCUCGCUGGAACUCUCAUGCCUAGCUCGAGUAGUGGUCGAUGCCGAACAGUUGCUGGGUAAUGAGUCCCAGCUUCGGUCCAUUGGCCAUUGUGGUGUAGAGCGGGUCAUUGGGUUCCAGGCGUCCGCUAGCGGCGACAUACGGAUACGGAAGAAAUCCAAGUUGGGGAACCGGGUAGGGUUUCAACCCCGAACCCGGAUUAUCCGAUUUAGACAUACGGCCCGCAUAAAACAUACCCAGCCCGAUGGAUGAGCCUGCCCCAGGAACGAUUGGUGAGCCUCCAUCGGGUUGGGCCUGCACUUCGUGGCCUUGAUUCAUUUGUGUGGGCCCAUAAAACCAUGGGCCAGGCGCCAUCUGGACAAGCAGCCACUAGAUGGACUAGCCCGCGAUGGGUUGUCCCUGGUUGGGUUGGGCCUAAGCCCUCUGUUCUUGAGGUCCAAUACCAGCAGACAAAUCCGAGACAUCAACUUCUUGCCGUAUGACGGAUUCCUCUGGUGUUCCUUCCUCUGGCGUCAAUGAAGGAUCUUUAGGCAUGGUGUCGGUAAGUGUAAAGGGUAAGGAAAAAAAAUGUUUGGUUUUUUAAGAGAUUCAGACACUGAUUCCUACACCGGAGUGCUAACCUUGUUUUGCAGGUUAGAGUUCCUGCAGCAACAAAAGGGCAAUUCUAUCUGGUGGGCAAUCAAGUAUGAAAGUUGCGGAAGCUAGGUCAAGAGUGUCUACUCUGAUACCAUGACAAAAACUGAAGAAGAAGGGAAAAGAUGUGGGAAUUUUCUAUGUAUUCUCAUUCACUGUAUUGUAAUGUACAAAAGGAGUCAUUAUAUAAAACAA